This 253-nucleotide ribosomal RNA is filed under the name uncultured bacterium. RNAcentral describes it as "partial 16S ribosomal RNA". It matches the Rfam family "Bacterial small subunit ribosomal RNA", at positions 524 to 776 of the family's 1533-position model. The record is from RNAcentral.
UACAGAGGUCUCAACCGUUGUUCGGAUUCAUUGGGCGUAAAGGGUGCGUAGGCGGUCGGGUAAGUCGGAUGUGAAAUCUCAGGGCUCAACCCUGAAACUGCAUUCGAUACUGCCUGGCUAGGGUACUGGAGAGGAGACUGGAAUUUACGGUGUAGCAGUGAAAUGCGUAGAUAUCGGAAGGAACAUCGGUGGCGAAGGCGGCCUGCUGGGCUCUUGCUGACACUGAGGCGCGACAGCGUGGGGAGCAAACAGG